CAGCCGCCGCGGUAAUACAGAGGGUGCGAGCGUUAAUCGGAUUUACUGGGCGUAAAGCGUGCGUAGGCGGCUUUUUAAGUCGGAUGUGAAAUCCCUGAGCUUAACUUAGGAAUUGCAUUCGAUACUGGGAAGCUAGAGUAUGGGAGAGGAUGGUAGAAUUCCAGGUGUAGCGGUGAAAUGCGUAGAGAUCUGGAGGAAUACCGAUGGCGAAGGCAGCCAUCUGGCCUAAUACUGACGCUGAGGUACGAAAGCAUGGGGAGCAAACAGGAUUAGAUACCCGAGUAGUCCCUGUCUCUUAUAC
Molecule: ribosomal RNA, 301 nt
Filed under: uncultured bacterium
Lineage: Bacteria
Description: partial 16S ribosomal RNA
Rfam family: Bacterial small subunit ribosomal RNA
Source: RNAcentral